ACGGGGUGCAGCAGGCGCGAAAACUUCACACUGUGCGAAAGCGCGAUGAGGGAAUCCCAAGUGUUUGCUCGUAAGAGUAAACUGUUUCUUUGUUUAAAACGCAGAGAGAGUAAGGGCUGGGUAAGACGGGUGCCAGCCGCCGCGGUAAUACCUGCAGCUCAAGUGGUGAUCAUUAUUAUUGGGCCUAAAACGUCCGUAGCCGGUUUAGUAAAUGCCUGGGUAAAUCGUGUAGCUUAACUAUACGACUUCCGGGUAGACUGCUAAACUUGAGACCGGGUGAGGCUAGAGGUACUCCUGGGGUAGAGGUGAAAUUCUGUAAUCCUAGGGGGACCACCAGUGGCGAAGGCGCCUAGCUAGAACGGGUCUGACGGUGAGGGACGAAGCCCUGGGGCACAAACCGGAUUAGAUACCCGGGUAGUCCAGGGUGUAAACGCUGCUUGCUUGAUGUUAGUUGGGCUCCGAGCCCAACUAGUGUCGGAGAGAAGUUGUUAAGCAAGCUGCCUGGAAGUACGUCGCAAGGC
Molecule: ribosomal RNA, 521 nt
Filed under: uncultured archaeon
Lineage: Archaea
Description: bacterial SSU rRNA
Rfam family: Archaeal small subunit ribosomal RNA
Source: RNAcentral